Molecule: ribosomal RNA, 441 nt
Filed under: uncultured bacterium
Lineage: Bacteria
Description: partial 16S ribosomal RNA
Rfam family: Bacterial small subunit ribosomal RNA
Source: RNAcentral
CCUACGGGCUUCAGCAGUCUUUACUUUUUCCCCCUUUUUUCCCCCCUGCCGCCGCCCCGCCGCGUGAUCGAUGAAGCCCUUCGGGGUGUAAAGAUCUGUCAGUGGGGACGAAACCUGACGGUACCCACAGAGGAAGCACCGGCUAACUCCGUGCCAGCAGCCGCGGUAAUACGGGGGGUGCAAGCGUUGUCCGGAAUCAUUGGGCGUAAGGAGUUCGUAGGUGGCACGUUAAGUCUGGUGUUAAAGGCGGAAGCUCAACUUCCGUAGGGCACUGGAUACUGGCGAGCUUGAAUGCGGUAGAGGUAAAGGGAAUUCCUGGUGUAGCGGUGAAAUGCGUAGAUAUCAGGAGGAACAUCGGUGGCGUAGGCGCUUUACUGGGCCGUAAUUGACACUGAGGAACGAAAGCCGGGGUAGCAAAUGGGAUUAGAUACCCGUGUAGUC